AAGAACUUUGAAGAGAGAGUUCAAAAGGGCGUGAAACCGCUUAGAAUAAAACGGACGGAGCCGUUAGUGGCCCGGCGGAAUCAGUCGUACGACGCGCGAUAACCGGUCAUUCGCUAGAGCGAAAGUCUAGCUGGUCGCGUUAGUAAAUAGUAGCGUUCGUUCGAUGCAUUUCCGUCGGGUAAGCGUCGCGACCGAUGCGGAAAACUAUCGAAACCUUUCGAAUUGAGGUCGAGAUACUCCUCGUGGGUAUUUCGUAACCAGUUUGUUUGGUCGUCGUCGAUAGAUGAACGCAUCGAGCGUCUGAAAGUAACGCCGGCGUAAACGCUCGCUCAAGCGAUGGAAAGUCGAUGGAUCGGUCGUCGCCUGCUCGCAGGUUUCGAUUUGAUUCUAAUCGUCGGCGUUUUGAAAUCGCGUGCGACGCAAUUACGGCGUUACGGCGUCAGCGACGUCCGAGACGGUCAACCGUCCGACCCGUCUUGAAACACGGACCAAGGAGUCUAACGUACGCGCGAGCUAAUGGGUGGAAAACCUAUAAGCGCAAUAAAAGUAAAAGCCGUUUCGGACGGCGCGGGGUACGAUCUCUCGGUCGCGAUGGCCUCGAGCGCAGUACCGUCCCGUUCUGACCGCUUGUCGGUAGGGCGGAGAUUGAGUGCAUACGUUGGGACCCGAAAGAUGGUGAACUAUGCCUGAGCAGAGCGAAGCCAGAGGAAACUCUGGUGGAGGUUCGUAGCGGUUCUGACGUGCAAAUCGAUCGUCAGACUUGGGUAUAGGGGCGAAA
This 778-nucleotide ribosomal RNA is filed under the name Longidorus caespiticola. Its description in RNAcentral is "LSU rRNA". It matches the Rfam family "Eukaryotic large subunit ribosomal RNA", at positions 369 to 928 of the family's 3401-position model. The record is from RNAcentral. Lineage: Eukaryota; Metazoa; Nematoda; Enoplea; Dorylaimida; Longidoridae.